CAGUGUUCUAAAUCCAGAGUCCUAAUCUAGAUAUAAAUACGCUGAAUGUUAUGAAUAUAGUUUCCUAAACUGAGCCCUACAUCUGCGUCCUCAUCUGUGAGAUAAAGGUCACUCGCCAUGGCCUGAUGCAGAGUCAUGACGAUUAAGGUCCUUACUUAUAAAAAGUCAUUUUUAUUCUCAUCUGGGCAAAAGUGAAGUUCAAAGUCAGAGUUCCAUCAGAGUUCAGCUUCUGUGAUCCAUCAGACGAUUCCUGUUUAGAAGAGAGCUUUCUAAAGUCACAAGUGUUCUGCAUCACGGCACACUGCUGACUAAUUUGCAUUAAUAACUGAUGGUAGGAGAAAGAGCCCCGGAGAAAAAGCAGUACGCCUGCUUUUGCCAAAUUGGAGCUGACCCAACUAGGAACAAUUUCCAGUGUACUUUCAUAUUCUCCUGCCUCACGUGUGUGUUCCUGCUGCCUAAACAUACAUUUUUGACACGGGGUCUUGGACACCCCAGGAGGUACAAGGCCCUGUGGACUUUUUGUUCCAGGAGGUUAUGGUGCCAGAUCAGAAUAGAAAUUGCAAGACUUGAAACCACUGAACUGCACAUCUGA
Molecule: long non-coding RNA, 592 nt
Filed under: Capra hircus (goat)
Lineage: Eukaryota; Metazoa; Chordata; Mammalia; Artiodactyla; Bovidae
Description: lncRNA (ENSCHIG00000000915.1)
Source: RNAcentral